This 1460-nucleotide long non-coding RNA is filed under the name Felis catus (domestic cat). RNAcentral describes it as "lncRNA (ENSFCAG00000047395.1)". Lineage: Eukaryota; Metazoa; Chordata; Mammalia; Carnivora; Felidae. The record is from RNAcentral.
AUGGGAAGUUUUUAUUUAAUUGGGGGGUGGACAUGGUUUGUCAUAUUGCAUUGUGUCAAAGAAGGUAAAGCUUUUAUUCUAUUCUUUUCAAAAAGGUUUCAGAGGGUUUUUAGUACUCAAUACAUAUUUCCUAUCUUUUCUUUCUUUUUAACUCACAGUUGCUGGAUAUUCAUUUUCUGUGAAAUUAUAAUUAGUGAUAUUUCUAGAAAGAAUAAUAUUGAGUUUUGUAUUGCACCUGUCACCCUUGAGUUCUCUGCAGAUGUUUUUAGCAAGAUGGAUGAUAAGACACUAUUGCCAGACACUGAUUUUAAAGGCAUCAGAGUUUUCUCGGAGAUCUGAGUUCAGGAGAGGAAAAAACAAACAAACAACUAUCAUUUUAUUGUUGAAAAGCAAAUGACAGAUAAGUGGACUCCAAGAAAAAUCCAGAAAACAUAGAUAUUCUACUAGAAUUCCUGGGAUUAGAUAAAUCAAUUGGUUGAAAGUAAGUCAAUAAUUUUCUGCUCAACAGUUUUGAUAAACUUGCCUCCUAAUUUUGAAAUAAGUGACUUUAAAUUGUGUGUAAUUUUAAUUCAUUUCUACUUCUUUUUAAGAACUGUCAUAAGUUCAUGUGUCUUUUGACGCAUGAAAAGAUGCUCAACAUCACUCAUCAUCAGGGAAAUACAAACCACAAGUACAAUGAGAUAUUACCUCAUACCCGUCAGAAUGGCUAAAAUUAACAACACAGGAAACAAUAGAUGUUGGUGAGGAUGUGGAGAAGGGGGAACAGUCCUAUAAUGUUGGUGGGAAUGCAAACUUUUGCAACCUCUCUGGAAAACAGUAUGGAGGUUCCUCAAAAAAUUAAAAAUAGAACUACCCCACAGUCUAGCAAUUGCACUACAGGCAUUUACCCAAAGGACACAAAAAUACUGAUUUGAAGGGAUACAUGCACCCUGAUGUUUAUAGCAGCAUUAUCAACAAUAACCAAACUAUGGAAAGGGCCCAAAUGUAGAUCAACUGAUGAAUAGAUAAAGAAAAGGUGGUAAGUUAUACAAUGGAUAUACAUUCAGCCAUAAACACAAAACAAUGAAAUUUUGCCAUUUGCAAUGAGGUGGAUGGAGCUAGAGUGUAUUAUGCUAAAUGAAAUAAGUCAGUCACUGAAAUACAAAUACCAUAUGAUUUUACUCAAAUGUGAAAUUUAAGAAACAAAACAGAUCAACAUACGUGGGGAAAAAAGAGAGAGAAACCAUAAAACAAACUCUUAACUAUAGAGAACAUACUGAGGAUUGCCGGAGGGGAGGUGGGUCGGGGGAUGGGUUAGAUGGAUAAUGGGUACUAAGGAGGGCACUUGUGAUGAGCACUGGGUGUAUAAGCAAGUGAUUAAUCACUAAAUUCUACUCCUGAAGCCAAUAUCUCACUGUAUGUUAACUAACAAGAAUUUAAAUGAAAACUUGGACAAAAUAAAUUAAAAAAUUAUUAAUACA